Small nuclear RNA from Erinaceus europaeus (western European hedgehog), 62 nucleotides. The record is from Ensembl. Lineage: Eukaryota; Metazoa; Chordata; Mammalia; Eulipotyphla; Erinaceidae.
GUGCUUGCUUUGGCAGCACAUGUACUAAAAUUGGAACAAUACAGAGAAAAAUAGUAUGGCCC